UUAGGUUGGUGCAAAUGUAAUUGUGGUUUUUGCCAUUGAAAGUAAGGGCAAAAGCUGCAAUUACGUUUGUACUAACCUAAUA
This 82-nucleotide microRNA precursor is filed under the name Cebus imitator (Panamanian white-faced capuchin). RNAcentral's name for it is "miRNA (ENSCCAG00000010931.1)". Lineage: Eukaryota; Metazoa; Chordata; Mammalia; Primates; Cebidae. The record is from RNAcentral.